Molecule: ribosomal RNA, 484 nt
Filed under: uncultured bacterium
Lineage: Bacteria
Description: partial 16S ribosomal RNA
Rfam family: Bacterial small subunit ribosomal RNA
Source: RNAcentral
AUUGAACGCUGGCGGCAUGCUUUACACAUGCAAGUCGAACGGCAGCGCGGGCUUCGGCCUGGCGGCGAGUGGCGAACGGGUGAGUAAUGCAUCGGAACGUGCCCAGUAGUGGGGGAUAGCCCGGCGAAAGCCGGAUUAAUACCGCAUACGACCUGAGGGUGAAAGCGGGGGACCGAAAGGCCUCGCGCUAUUGGAGCGGCCGAUGUCGGAUUAGCUAGUUGGUGGGGUAAAGGCUUACCAAGGCGACGAUCCGUAGCUGGUCUGAGAGGACGACCAGCCACACUGGGACUGAGACACGGCCCAGACUCCUACGGGAGGCAGCAGUGGGGAAUUUUGGACAAUGGGGGCAACCCUGAUCCAGCCAUGCCGCGUGCGGGAAGAAGGCCUUCGGGUUGUAAACCGCUUUUGUUCGGGAAGAAAUCCUCUGGGCUAAUACCCCGGGGGGAUGACGGUACCGGAAGAAUAACCACCGGCUAACUACGUG